This 253-nucleotide ribosomal RNA is filed under the name uncultured bacterium. Its description in RNAcentral is "partial 16S ribosomal RNA". It matches the Rfam family "Bacterial small subunit ribosomal RNA", at positions 524 to 776 of the family's 1533-position model. The record is from RNAcentral.
UACGUAGGCAGCGAGCGUUGUUCGGAAUUACUGGGCGUAAAGAGUGUGUAGGCGGUGUUCCCAGUCUGUUGUGAAAUCUCCCGGCUUAACUGGGAGGGUGCAGCGGAAACUAGAAUGCUAGAGGGUGGGAGAGGUAAGCGGAAUUCCUGGUGUAGCGGUGAAAUGCGUAGAUAUCAGGAGGCACACCUGUGGUGUAGACAGCUUACUGGACCACUUCUGACGCUGAGACACGAAAGCGUGGGUAGCAAACAGG